GAUUUAGAACAACACAGCAAAAUGCGGAACAACAUUACACGUGCAAUGAAAGCAAGGACAUUUACUCAGCUGAGGCUGGCAAAGAAAGUAGGAACAAAAUGUGCUUUCAGUUGGUGUCUGUGAAACAGGAAAUAAAGCUUACGAGUGAUCGUAACAGGGUCAGUACUGGCGCUGUGGGCAAUGUUGAGAGGGUCAGGUUUUGAGGCUCAUUAAGUGGGAUAGCUCUCUCCCACACCACGUUAUUUGUCAGGCGUUUUUGCAAAACAUGCCAAGUACAGCCAAAGGAGAAAGUGUGGAUUGAAAGAAAAAGCCCCACAAUGUGACAGACACUGACUAAUCGACACUAACCACACAGAGGAAGCUGAAUGGGUUUUUCAUACCAAGGAAAAGACUUCGAAUUUGGAAAGAGAUAACAAGAGAAUCUACAGCAAAACAACCAUAAGAGAAAGCACUCGGAAUCACAGCAGAAAAAAUGAAUUAACCAAAAAGUUAUUAAUUAAUGAACGAAAGGCUCAUUGUUUUUUUCCUUUUUGCUUCUUUUUAUUGGUCCAGUCUGAUGUCAAUACAAUCAAAUCCAUUUAUAUGCAACCCCUUAAAGGGACAUUUAUACCAGUCCCAGUUUGUUGCUCACUAAGUCAGCAAUGAUGCAGCCAUUCCAGACUUCAUGUAUAUU
This is a long non-coding RNA of Leucoraja erinaceus (little skate), 673 nucleotides long. RefSeq lists it as uncharacterized. The record is from RefSeq and is a predicted model, not a curated record. NCBI's taxonomy places the organism in Eukaryota, Metazoa, Chordata, Chondrichthyes, Rajiformes, Rajidae. The transcript is spliced from 3 exons.